AGAGUUUGAUCCUGGCUCAGGACGAACGCUGGCGGCGUGCUUAACACAUGCAAGUCGAAGGAAAGGCCCCGCUUGCGGGGUACUCGAGUGGCGAACGGGUGAGUAACACGUGGGUGAUUACCCUGCACUUCGGGAUAAGCCUGGGAAACUGGGUCUAAUACCGGAUAGGACCCCUCUUAGUGUGGGGGGUGGAAAGUUUUUUCGGUGUGGGAUGAGCCCGCGGCCUAUCAGCUUGUGGUGGGGUAAUGGCCUACCAAGGCGUCGACGGGUAGCCGGCCUGAGAGGGUGGACGGCCCAUUGGGACUGAGAUACGGCCCAGACUCCUACGGGAGGCAGCAGUGGGGAAUAUUGCACAUGGGCGGAAGCCUGAUGCAGCGACGCCGCGUGGGGGAUGACGGCCUUCGGGUUGUAAACUCUUUCGCUAGGGACGAAGCUUUUGUGACGGUACCUAGAUAAGAAGCACCGGCUAACUCGUGCCAGCAGCCGCGGUAAUACGUAGGGUGCGAGCGUUGUCCGGAAUUACUGGGCGUAAGAGCUCGUAGGUGGUUUGUCGCGUCGUCUGUGAAAUUCCGGGGCUUAACCUCGGGCGUCAGGCGAUACGGGCAAUACUUGAGUGCUGUAGGGGAGACUGGAAUUCCUGGUGUAGCGGGGAAUGCGCAGAUAUCAGGAGGAACACCGAUGGCGAAGGCAGGUCUCUGGGCAGUAACUACGCUGAGGAGCGAAAGCAUGGGUAGCGAACAGGAUUAGAUACCCUGGUAGUCCAUGCCUAAACGGUGGGCGCUAGGUGUAGGGGUCUUCCACGACUUCUGUGCCGUAGCUAACGCAUAAGCGCCCGCCUGGGGGAGUACGGCCGCAAGGCUAAAACUCAAAGGAAUUGACGGGGCC
RNAcentral lists this ribosomal RNA (885 nucleotides) under uncultured bacterium. Its description in RNAcentral is "bacterial SSU rRNA". It matches the Rfam family "Bacterial small subunit ribosomal RNA", at positions 8 to 920 of the family's 1533-position model. The record is from RNAcentral.